CACGUAGGGGCCGAGCGUUGUCCGGAGUUACUGGGCGUAAAGGGCGCGCAGGCGGGUCGGUGCAUCGGUGGUGAAAGCCCCGCGCUCAACGCGGGAGGGUCCACCGAGAUGGCCGACCUGGAGGCAGGGAGAGGCCGGUGGAAUUCCGGGUGUAGUGGUGAAAUGCGUAGAGAUCCGGAGGAACACCAGAGGCGAAGGCGGCCGGCUGGACCUGUCCUGACGCUGAGGCGCGAAGGCGUGGGGAGCGAACGGGAUUAGAUACCCUCGUAGUCC
RNAcentral lists this ribosomal RNA (273 nucleotides) under uncultured bacterium. RNAcentral's name for it is "partial 16S ribosomal RNA". It matches the Rfam family "Bacterial small subunit ribosomal RNA", at positions 524 to 796 of the family's 1533-position model. The record is from RNAcentral.